RNAcentral lists this long non-coding RNA (1404 nucleotides) under Bos indicus x Bos taurus (hybrid cattle). RNAcentral describes it as "lncRNA (ENSBIXG00005016359.1)". Lineage: Eukaryota; Metazoa; Chordata; Mammalia; Artiodactyla; Bovidae. The record is from RNAcentral.
GGCUAGUAUUGGAGAGAAACAAUGUAGAAGUGAUAAACCGAAUUUAUGAUUUCUACAGGUUCUAGUCUUCUGAGGAGGUGUCAGCUAAGCUGAAAUUGGAGAAAGUUUUAAUCAUAUAUGCAACAACAGGAGGGGAAUUACAGACAGAGAGCCUCUUGAAAACCCAACAGGGAUGUCGACAUGCUAAGGAAGUGGAAAGGAAGAGUUCUGUGUGCUCUGUGUCCUCAAGCACAGCCCUAUGCCAGCUUUUAUUAAGCACUGCCAAACUCUGGAGCGUGUCACUGGAGAGGACUGGCUUCCACCCCUGGGGACUUGAGGGUUUCGCAGGCUUGUGCCAUGAACUCUGUGACAUUCUUCAACUCAGGCAGGUACCUGCUCUCCUUUGUGCUUGUCACUCAGGGGGCUCACGGGUGCCACCAGGCUGAGAGACUGCACUCACAAGAACUCAGAUUCAGGCUCAGAGCCCCUUCCCGGGCUCUGUCAUGUAUGACUGGUCCCCAGGACUGCUUCCAAGAUUCUCUGGCCGUGUUCUCUUCUGGGUCAGAAAGCUGCCUCUGAGAAUCGGGGCAGGGUUCACGGCCCAGUUCUUCCUCGAUGAAACGUGACUACCAGCUUCUGUAGUCUUGAACGUGCACUGGGGGUUUCCUGGUGUCAACGACUCGUCCCACUGCUGACAGGAAAAGAAGCCCAGGAAAGGAUGUGGUCAGCCCAGCUGGAGACGAGGUUGCCCAGAAAUGCCAGAUGCUCCUCUUCCAGGGCCUUCCAGCAGCCAGACCAUGGACUCCAGCCAGAGUCCGAGGGGGCCUGGAGCUGCAGCUGCUCGGAGGGGCCUGCAGGGCCCAAGGCCUGUUCCUCACAUCAUCAUGGGGAACCACCAGCCCAUGGCUUGGACUGGCAAGUGGACAGGCUGGAAAUCUGAAUCAGAGUUGAGUUUACAGUCUUGAGUCUGAAAUCUAUAGAGCAAUCUGGCAGGAUUGUAACCGGAACAAGAUUUCUAGGUUACAGUCUUUAAACUUCUUUUUCCUAUUUUUCAUGUGUAGUUUUACUUCUGUGUAUUGGAGAUGAGGCAGAUUUUCUAAAAAAGAUCAAGAAUACACUCUAUCACAAAAAAGUACAGGUAGAGGAAACUGGGAGAAAAGACCCUCCUUUUCAGGGAUUGACAGAGGCUUACAAUGCAGAGGGGCCACCUGCAGAGGGACUCAGAAAGAUCAAAGGGAGAGAUCAGUGCUCUCCCACUGACCCAAUGCUGAAAAUGUCAGUGAGGGCAGGCCCCAGGGCCUGCACACAGAGUCUCUAGAAUGCAGAGCUCUGCCUCCUGAAGCCAGAGAGGAUGACUUCCAUUUUCAAUCUUGAGGGUUCCUGCAUGCUGAAGAAUAAAGCCGUCUUAAGUUUAAUUAGGUCCCA